This 450-nucleotide ribosomal RNA is filed under the name uncultured bacterium. Its description in RNAcentral is "bacterial SSU rRNA". It matches the Rfam family "Bacterial small subunit ribosomal RNA", at positions 328 to 792 of the family's 1533-position model. The record is from RNAcentral.
AGGCCAGACUCCUACGGGAGGCAGCAGUGGGGAAUAUUGGACAAUGGGGGGAACCCUGAUCCAGCGACGCCGCGUGAGUGAAGAAGUAUUUCGGUAUGUAAAUCUCUAUCAGCAGGGAAGAAAGAAAUGACGGUACCUGACUAAGAAGCCCCGGCUAACUACGUGCCAGCAGCCGCGGUAAUACGUAGGGGGCAAGCGUUAUCCGGAUUCACUGGGUGUAAAGGGAGCGUAGACGGCGACGCAAGUCUGGAGUGAAAGCCCGGGGCCCAACCCCGGGACUGCUCUGGAAACUGCCGGGCUAGAGUGCAGGAGGGGCAGGCGGAAUUCCUAGUGUAGCGGUGAAAUGCGUAGAUAUUAGGAGGAACACCAGUGGCGAAGGCGGCCUGCUGGACUGCAACUGACGUUGAGGCUCGAAGGCGUGGGGAGCAAACAGGAUUAGAUACCCUGGUA